RNAcentral lists this ribosomal RNA (518 nucleotides) under Xanthochorema calcaratum. Its description in RNAcentral is "partial 16S ribosomal RNA". Lineage: Eukaryota; Metazoa; Arthropoda; Insecta; Trichoptera; Hydrobiosidae. The record is from RNAcentral.
GUCUUUUUGAUUUCUUUAUUUAAAGUCUAAUCUGCUCACUGAAUUUAUAUUUAAAGAGCCGCAGUAUUUUAACUGUGCAAAGGUAGCAUAAUAAUUUGUUUUUUAAUUGAAAACUAGAAUGAAUGAUUGAACGAGAUAUAUUCUGUCUCAAUUUUAAUUUAAUAUAAAUUAAUUUUUUAGUUAAAAAGCUAAAAUUAAUCUAAAAGACGAGAAGACCCUAUAGAUUUUUAUAUAAUUAUUGAUUAAUUUAUAUAUCUAUAAAUGUAAAUAUAUUUAUUAAUAAUUAUAUUUUAUUGGGGUAAUAAAAAAAUUAAAAAAACUUUUAUUAAAUAAAAACAUAAAUUAAUGAAAAUUUGAUCCAAAUUUAAUGAUUAAAAGAUUAAAUUACCUUAGGGAUAACAGCGUAAUUUUAAUUUUAAGUUCUUAUUGAAAUUAAAGAUUGCGACCUCGAUGUUGGAUUAAGAAAAAUUUUAAAAGUAGAUUUUUAAAUUUUAGGUCUGUUCGACCUUUAAAAUCUU